RNAcentral lists this long non-coding RNA (1314 nucleotides) under Piliocolobus tephrosceles (Ugandan red Colobus). RNAcentral's name for it is "lncRNA (ENSPTEG00000024344.1)". The record is from RNAcentral. Lineage: Eukaryota; Metazoa; Chordata; Mammalia; Primates; Cercopithecidae.
AUUUUUUUUUUUUUUUUUUUGAGAUGGUGUCUUGCUCUGUCACCCAGGCUGGAGUGCAGUGGCGCGAUCCCAGCUCACUGCAAGCUCCACCUCCCAGUUCACGCCAUUCUCUUGCCUCAGCCUCCCAAGUAGCUGGGACUAUAGGUGCCUGCCACCUCACCCAGCUAAUUAUUUUGUAUUUUUAGUGGAGACGGGGUUUCACUGUGUUAGCCAGGAUGUCUUGAUCUCCUGACCUCAUGAUCUGCCCACCUCGGCCUCCCAAGGUGCUGGGAUUACAGGCGUGAGCCACCGUGCCCAGCCUUUUUUUUUUUUUUUUUUUUUUUUUAAAAAAGAUAUAAAGCAAAGGGUCUGUGGGCCAAUGAAUAUGUGUACCAUGUCCUUUCCUCUUGGGGAUGCAUAACAAACAUCAUAAGAAGUUUGAUAUGAACGAAUUAUGUCUUAACCUAGCAUUUCCUAAAACUUGGAUGUUGAACCCUUUUCUGUGAGACACCUGUGGAACUGUUUUAUGGAAUACACUUAGGAAAGUGCCAGGAGAAGCAACAGAGAGAGUUCUUGGCAGUAUGUACUUUAUGAACACAUGGGGCAACCUUACCACUCCCCUUCCACAGCCUCCCAGGAACACCCCCCUCCUCAUGGCGAUCAUAAAGUCUGAUCCCACACUACCACCUUGUCUCCUUUGAUUUUUAUUUAAUUAUAUCAGUAAUACGUGUUCAAAGAAAAUACUGAUAAGGUAAAGAAUAUUAAUUCUGCAAAUUCACCAACCAGAGUUAAUGCCUCUUAACAUUAACAUUUGGGCCAGGUGCGGUGGCUCACACAUGUAAUCCCAGCACUUUGGGAGGCUGAGUUAGGCCAAUGACUUGAGGUCAGGAGUUCAAGACCAGCCUGACCAACAUGGUGACACUCCAUAUGUACUAGAAAUGCAAAAAUUAGCUGAGUGUGGUGGUGGGUGCCUGUAAUCCCAGCUAUUGGGGAGGUUGAGGCAGGAGAAUCACUUCAGCCCAGGAGGCGGAGGUUGCAGUGAGCAGAGAGCAUACCACUGCACUCCAGCCUGAGACUCCAUCUCAAAAAAAAAAAAAAGAAAAGGGUGUAUAUAUCCUGGCCUUCCCCCUUCAUGGGUGUGUGAAUACAUACACAGGCUUGUGUUUGUUUUUUUUUUGUUUUUUAAUAAACAUUUUCAAGGUUUGUCCAAAAGAAGGCCAUAUAGGUUCUUGGCUAGCGGAAGACAAUUCAGAACAGCUGUUGCACACUUGCACUGUCACCUUCUCCAGGCUGGCAGUUGAUAUCUUAUUUUUUUUUCCAACUCAUUUUUAUUAA